Brassica oleracea var. oleracea is the source of this 1405-nucleotide long non-coding RNA. RefSeq lists it as uncharacterized. Lineage: Eukaryota; Viridiplantae; Streptophyta; Magnoliopsida; Brassicales; Brassicaceae. The transcript has 3 exons. The record is from RefSeq and is a predicted model, not a curated record.
CCUAAUUCUAAUUUCGCUAGGAAAUGGACUUCGUCAUCUUCGUUUUAUGGCGACUCGACAACGCCUAAGCUUCUUCUGAAUCUCUCUGAGACGGUGUGAAUUAUGCGAUUUCUAGGGUUGCCACUGUUCUUAAGCAAUUGUCGUUUAAAACCGACAAAGAAGCUCCGGCUGGGUUACGGGGAUGAGUAUUUCCUGCCAAUCUAUGGUGGUAGCCGCUGUCUAUGUCGAAUCGCCUGGACCGUUACAAAACUCUACUGCAUUCAGUCAUCGUCAUUAACGAUCUCAUUAAUACAGAUUCCCCACUCCUCUCAUGAUGUUUGCCCUUCUCGCUUCCAUUGUGCAAAUCUACAACUAUAAAUAUAGAUUAGGAUGGCAAACUCUUCACUCCUGCUCCCCAAUUUGAAAGUCAGGUGUUGUAACUCCACUGUUAAAUUUCACUGCUGAUUAAGAAGAUGUUAUGGGUGAAUGUCUCAGAGGUUCUGGUUAAGAAGAAUUCAAAACUUCCCAAACAGUAAGAAUUGACCUUUAUGAUUUGCUCACUCACUUAGCUUAGGGUUUUGGAAGAGUUAACAUUAUUCUUUGAUUUGAUUUCUGGGCUGUUAUUAGUUUUGUUCAUGUUCAUUCUUGGUUUUGGUCCAUUGUAAUUGAAGAAACACUUCAAUUAUGUUCUUCACACUUCAUAGUCAGGUCUCUGAACCUUGGCACUUGAAUCUUCUUAUAUCUGAGUGAAAAAUGACACUUUUAUUUUAUAUUUUUAAAGUACGAAAGAGUUGCUUAUAUAUAGGUUGUUAAGAAAGAUGAAGAUGUGAAAAUUCUUGAAAUGGUGGGGGAUGAGGAUUGUUUGCCUCCACCGGCAAAGGUUAUCUUCACUAAAAUUAUCUCAUUAAUAUCAAAAAGUCCGUUGAAGAUUUCAGCCAUUACAUCAUUGAGGUAGUUUUGUAUGUAUAUGCUUCCCAUGUUUUCUUUUAGAAAGGAGGUUGGAUGACAUCAUGUUGCAGUUCUAGAAUAUUGAUGUCAUCAGAAUUAUUAGCAGUGUUCUUGGCCAGAGCAUAGCUUUGAAUUACUAAUUUACUAUGGCCGGCAGGUAGCAAUCACAUAUCAGUUUGUUUCUGUUAGGUUGAUGGUAUGGUAGCAAUUAGCAAAGUUAACUGAACAAACCAUGGGAUGGAGAAAACAGGAACGCUUACAGCGGAUAUGAAGAAGUUGUUCCAGUUGGAGAUUUUUCACUAAAGCAACUUCAAACGAAGAGUUUCUAAUUUGUUUUUAGUGUGUUUUAUCAUUUUCUUUUCCUAGGUGAAUUUGUAAGAAAGAGUUUCAUAUAUGACUUGCUGCAACCGUAAAAAUUGUGUUUUUACUUUUAUGCGUCAAUCUUUUAAUAAUACAAUAAAAGGGUCAUGUGCUAAUC